UUGAACGCUGGCGGCAUGCCUUACACAUGCAAGUCGAACGGCAGCGCGGGGCAACCUGGCGGCGAGUGGCGAACGGGUGAGUAAUAUAUCGGAACGUACCCUGGAGUGGGGGAUAACGUAGCGAAAGUUACGCUAAUACCGCAUACGAUCUAAGGAUGAAAGUGGGGGAUUCGCAAGAACCUCAUGCUCCUGGAGCGGCCGAUAUCUGAUUAGCUAGUUGGUAGGGUAAAAGCCUACCAAGGCAUCGAUCAGUAGCUGGUCUGAGAGGACGAUCAGCCACACUGGAACUGAGACACGGUCCAGACUCCUACGGGAGGCAGCAGUGGGGAAUUUUGGACAAUGGGCGCAAGCCUGAUCCAGCAAUGCCGCGUGAGUGAAGAAGGCCUUCGGGUUGUAAAGCUCUUUUGUCAGGGAAGAAACGGGAUUGGCUAAUAUCUGAUUCUAAUGACGGUACCUGAAGAAUAAGCACCGGCUAACUACGU
This 482-nucleotide ribosomal RNA is filed under the name uncultured bacterium. RNAcentral describes it as "bacterial SSU rRNA". It matches the Rfam family "Bacterial small subunit ribosomal RNA", at positions 30 to 506 of the family's 1533-position model. The record is from RNAcentral.